Molecule: long non-coding RNA, 2362 nt
Organism: Bos taurus (domestic cattle)
Lineage: Eukaryota; Metazoa; Chordata; Mammalia; Artiodactyla; Bovidae
Source: Ensembl
GUUCUGAGUCCUGUCUUUUUUGUUUUGCGUUACAGUGUAAGCAUUUUCCCACGUCCUUAAAAUUCUUCUUAAAGACAAUGUUACAGGUUGUGUAACAGUCAUGCAUUGUUUUCUUGCCUAAGGUAGCUGUGGUCCACCCUUAUGAUUCCAGGAGAUUUGCUUUCAUUUUCCAUAUUUUAGAAACUUUCCUCCUGCAAAGAACUGCUCCCCUACUAUCUCCAAGCAACAAGGAAGACCUCAAAAUCCUCAUCCAGGUCUUCCUGGGGCCUCCAGAAAACUUGUUUAAUCCAAUAUAUCUCAGCAGAGUUUGGGUGUCAAGCCUUUCUUUUCGUGAUCUCUUCCCUUGCCUUUAUUUCUCACGAUGGAGGAUUUGUAAUCCAAUGGGUAUAACUCAGGGGCUGUCAAGACUGAUGAUUAAAAUGUGGACUGUUUGAACGUUAAUGUACAGGGUAGCAUCCUUCCCAAAUUAGAUUCACCUGGAGCCCCAGAACACGAUGCUAUUUCAAGGUAGGGUCUUUGCUCAUGUAAUAUGGUAAAAUGAGGUCAUGCUCAUUAAGGAUUAAGGUGGGAGUCCAGUCCAAUCACUGGAGUCCUUGAAAGAAGGCCACGUGGAGACACACACACACACGGAAGGAGAAUGCCACGUGAGGGUGGAGACAGGUUGGAGGGACAUAUCUAGAAGCCAAGGAACGCCAGGGGCCAGUGGCGGCCACCAGGAGAAAGGCAAGGGAUGAUGCUCCUCAGAGCCCCCAGGAAGGAACGAGCCCUGCCGAUACCUUCAGUUUGGACCUCGAGUCUCCGGAACACACGCGAGACCUGGUGACGUCUCAGGGGUCCAUGGAGUCAUUGUCUUUAAGGGGCUAGAAGGUUCCAGGAGAUCAUGAGGCAGAUCACCAGGCAUUGCAUCCCGGAGGCUGGGGACCUCUGAACUAUGGGGUCAGAGUGUCUUCCGCAUCAGGACGUUGCCAGCAUGCAGUGAGGAGCCUCUUGCUGCGGUGAGGAGGGAGGUGAGCGACAAGGCCAGAAGUGGGGUCACAGAGCCAGCGAUGGGCCGAAGGUCUGGCCAACCUGAUGAAGCAACCUCAGAGAGGUCCAGAGAGUCCAGCCCAGGAACAGUCUGGGAUGACGCAAAAGGAACCGGACACUGACUGGGAAGCCUUCAUCCUAGCUUCACUUCCUGAACAGGUCUGGAGGCCUGGCCUGGUCCUCAGGAAACGGCAUGCUGGCCUCUGGGCGCAGAACCUCCACCCUUGUUUGGCUGGUGUCUUGUUGCAGCUGGUGGAUGACUUGUAGUUUUAUGUGCAGAAAAGCUCCUGUUGGGCUCCAGCCAGGCGAGUCACCACUCAAAGAGGGGGUCCAGCCGGGCCAUCAGACUCUUCAGGUGUCGCCCUGUCUGGGCCAGCUGUUGUGUCAGUUGGACCAGCUGUUGAACAGUCUGAGAUGGGAGACAGCUCAGCGAGUGGACAAGGCCUAUGUCUUGGGGAAGGUGGCUGAUGCGGCUGAGGACACGGCUGUUUCACCGGCAGAGCCAGGAUGCAAUCCCUGUCUGCCUGAUUCAAAAGAACUGCUCUUAUUUUUCACCCAGAGAAAAAGAGAGGUGACUCCUGCUUUAUAGUUGUGAGAAUCCCAUGAGAAAAUCAACACAAGGUGUCCAGCAGAACUCUCUACGCACAGUCGACAUGUUCACUCCCAGAAACUCUUCAUUGCCUUCUCUCUGUAAUCAGAAGUGACCAAUCGCUGCUAAACCACGACACUGAGAACACGGCUGGUCCCAGCCCCGUGCCUGGGCGUCACUCCGCUCCCACAUGGCGCCCAGUUUCUGCUUGGUGUUCUAAGAUGGGCUUCUUGGGGUAGUGUUCCUCCUCUGGCUCCUCUCCCAUAUGGUGGUUUAAUUGCUAAGUUGUGUCCGACUUUUGCAACCCCAUGGACUGUAGCCCACCAAUCUCCUCUGUCCAUGGGAUUUUUUCCAGGCAAGAAUACUGGAGUGAAUUGCCAUUUCCUUCUGCAGGGGAUCUUCCCGACCCAGGAAUUGAACCCGUGUCUCCUGCGUUGCAGGCAGAGUCUUUACCGACUGAGCUACCAAACGCACAAUAGCUACAAAAAUGAGAAACAGCAUGGCGGUCGUGGUGAGGUUCCAAGACCAUCAUCAAUUCUUAUAAAAAAAAAAUCAUUCUCUUUGAAUGUGGUGCUUAUCUGGGUACCGUGCCAAACUCAGUCUAGGACAGACACUGGGAUAAGUUGAGGGUGGGAAGAGCGUCUCCUGACUAACCCACCAGCUAUAGGAAGUUUUUCUAGACCCAAGGGUUCUCAACCUCACUGGAUCCAACUCCCCCCUUUUUUAAUGAAUACUCUAUAUUAUUAC